GACCUUACACCUUUAUUUAUCGAUUGAAAUAGGAAUUAGAUUCCAAUGAACACAGAACAAUAGAUGAUAAUUCUUUACUACACAAAUAGCUUAAAAUUUUUUACCACAUACAAGUUUCUCAUAGCACAACUGCAAACAUUAUAAGCCCACAAAUUGAAUCGUCCAAUAGCAGUUUAAAGGUUGAUCCAUUCCGUGGAAAUUCAUACAUUCAAAUCCAUGAUGUUCAUAUCAGUUUGCCAAAUCACCAUCUUAAAUGCAGAACCCAAAUUUCCCAUCGUUCCCAAACCGGACACAAUAUGUAUUACUGUUAUAAAUCGGAAUUUCAGCCACAAAGAGCAAGUGAAUCCAUUUGGGAAAUGACCAUUACAAUCAUAAACAUAUAUAUGGAAUUCGUAUCAUUACCUAACUAGAACCGACAAUGAUGUUGUUG
This 430-nucleotide unclassified non-coding RNA is filed under the name Hevea brasiliensis (rubber tree). Lineage: Eukaryota; Viridiplantae; Streptophyta; Magnoliopsida; Malpighiales; Euphorbiaceae. The record is from RNAcentral.